AAAGCGUGCGCAGGCGGUUCGGAAAGAGAGGUGUGAAAUCCCAGGGCUCAACCUUGGAACUGCACUUUUAACUACCGAGCUAGAGUAUGUCAGAGGGGGGUGGAAUUCCGCGUGUAGCAGUGAAAUGCGUAGAUAUGCGGAGGAACACCGAUGGCGAAGGCAGCCCCCUGGGAUAAUACUGACGCUCAUGCACGAAAGCGUGGGGAGCAAACAGGAUUAGAUACCCUGGU
Molecule: ribosomal RNA, 230 nt
Filed under: uncultured bacterium
Lineage: Bacteria
Description: partial 16S ribosomal RNA
Rfam family: Bacterial small subunit ribosomal RNA
Source: RNAcentral